GCUGGGCGUGGUGGUGCACGCCUAUAGUCCCAGCUACUCGGGAGGCUGAGGCAGGAGAAUUGCUUGAACCCAGGAGGCGGAGUUUGCAGUGAGCCAAGAUUGUGCCACUGCACUCUAGCCUGGAUGACAGAGCAAGACUCUGCCUCAA
Molecule: unclassified non-coding RNA, 148 nt
Organism: Pongo abelii (Sumatran orangutan)
Lineage: Eukaryota; Metazoa; Chordata; Mammalia; Primates; Hominidae
Rfam family: Metazoan signal recognition particle RNA
About the family: The signal recognition particle (SRP) is a universally conserved ribonucleoprotein.
Source: Ensembl